AUGUCAUCAUCAGUUGUGCCCCUCAAGAGCUUGAGGAUACUAAUGAUUGCAGACCUGGCUUGCUGCACACAGCUUCCGGAUGGCCUGUGUCAGCUUCCCUAUUUGGAGUCCUUUCAGAUCAAUCGUGCUCCAGCCAUCAAGCGUAUUGGACCUGAAUUCAUGCAGUCCUACCAUCACCACAGUCCCUGUCCUUCCCAGAUGGUGGCUGCAUUUCCGAGAUUGCAUGAGAUGGAGUUAAUAGGAAUGGUGGAAUGGGAGGAGUGGGAGUGGGAGGAGCAAGUGCAAGCCUUUCCUGUCCUGCAGAAUCUUAGGCUAGAACAAUGCAAAUUGAAGUGCCUUCCUCCUGGCCUUGCCUCCCAUGCAAGGGCUUUGAAUGAAUUAAUCAAAUUGAUAGUACGUGGUCUGUUGUCUUGUGUAGGUCGUGCAGGUGGAUUUGUAUCAGUUCUGUUCCUGGAUGAAAACCUUGACUUGGAGAGGAUCACUAAUCUUCCCAGACUACAAAAGCUUACCAUCGAAGAUUGUCCAAAGCUGAAGGUGCUGGGGGGUGUUCCAGCACUCCAGACGCUCAUACUCGUGGAUAGAGACAUGGAGACACUCCCAGUAUACAUGGGAGAUAUAAACCCAAGUUAUUUGGAGCUACACUGCAGCCUACCACUGCUCGCUUCCAUAGCCACGGGACAAUCUGGCCCUGAGUGGGACAAGAUCGGUCAUGUUGAGCAUGUCAAGGCUUAUGCACGUGAAGGUGAUAAUCCAAGGAAAUGGUAUGUCUUGUACACAACUAACCCCUACAACUUGGAGACAAAUCUCAGCCUCUCUUUCAUGUCCAGAGGAACCUUAACUUUUUUAGAGGACACACAAAGAUUUGAGUCUGUCUUCAAAAUGACAAGAAAAACCUUUAGCUACAUCUGCAGCUUGGUGAUGGGACCGUCAAUGGAAGAUAUGAACAGCUGCACCUUUAUUGAUGGGAGGGUGCUAUCUUUACAAGAUCGAGUAGUUGUUGCUUUGAGAAGGUUGCAAUGUACUGAGCCAACAGAGACCAUAGGAUCCUCUGUUGGUGUGAGCGAGUCAACGGUCUUGUUGGUAACUGAGAGGUUUGUUGCUGCUGUGUGGCAGAAAGCAGAUCACCACUACCGCUGGCCAGACUCCAGACAAAUGGAUAAGAUCAAAUCCAUGUUUGACAAGAUCCACAAUAUGCAUAACUGUUGCGGUGUUAUUUGUACAAUUGACAUUACAUUUAGACCAAACUGCGACCAUGAGAAGAUUCAGAGCACUCAGUUGCAAGUCAUCGUUGAUCCAGAGAUGAGGUUCAUGGACAUUUGGUUUGGAUCAGCAGGUAGAUUAAGCCACUUAAACAGAUUGUAUGACUCUGAGCUCUUCCAAGUGUGCGAGAAGGGCGCUUGGCUGAAUGGCAGCAAGCUGAAGGUAGCAUUAGAUGAACCAGAAGUCGGGGAAUACAUAAUUGGUGAUGCAGGAUAUCCUCUUCUCCCCUGGCUACUCACACCUUACCAUGAAGAAGACCACUCAGAUUACAAAGCGGAAUUCAAUAGGAGACACUCCGCAGCCACAACCUGUGCUAUGAAGGCAGUCGCAAGGCUCAAAGACACAUGGAAGUACCUGCAGGGAAAGAUGCCGAGCCCCGUCAAUAUACGUGAGACAAUCUAUGCCUGCUGCAUGUUGCAUAACAUAGUCAUAGAAAUGGAGGAUGAUACAGCCAUGCUGAGCACCAAGCAAAAGAGGAAUUACUGUGAGGAAGUGCGCCAGUUAGCAAAUGAAGACGCUGUCAAGGCGAGGGAUAUGCUGUCGCGACACUUCAUGUCCAGCAGGCCAUCUGAAUCGGGAGAGUAG
Molecule: ribosomal RNA, 1845 nt
Filed under: Triticum aestivum (bread wheat)
Lineage: Eukaryota; Viridiplantae; Streptophyta; Magnoliopsida; Poales; Poaceae
Description: partial small subunit ribosomal RNA
Source: RNAcentral